Molecule: ribosomal RNA, 460 nt
Filed under: uncultured bacterium
Lineage: Bacteria
Description: partial 16S ribosomal RNA
Rfam family: Bacterial small subunit ribosomal RNA
Source: RNAcentral
CCUACGGGGUGCUGCAGUGAGGAAUAUUGGUCAAUGGGCGGAAGCCUGAACCAGCCAAGUAGCGUGCAGGAUGACGGCCCUACGGGUUGUAAACUGCUUUUAUACGGGAAUAACGCGCCUUACGCGUAGGCUUUGCCAGUUACGGUAGUAUAAGGACCGGCCUAAUCCGGUCCCGGCAGCCGGGGGAAUAGGGAAGGUCCGGCCGUUAUCCGGAUUUUUGGGGUUUAAGGGGGGCGUAGGCCGCAUGUCAAGCGUGCUGUGAAAUGUCCGGGCUAAACCCGGCCCUUGCAGCGCGAACUGGCGUGCUUGAGUCCGCGGAAGGCAGGCGGAAUUCGUCGUGUAGCGGUGAAAUGCUUAGAUAUGACGAAGAACCCCGAUUGCGAAGGCAGCUUGCUGCAGCGGAACUGACGCUGAUGCUCGAAAGCGCGGGUAUCGAACAGGAUUAGAUACCCGUGUAGUC